ACAAUGCUGCUCAGAGGUGAAGUGCUUUUAGAGCCAUCUUGUUGACAGGAAAGGAGAUAAUCCCUUUUGUCGUGAUCGUACUCAAGCAAUCCCCGUGUCGCAAUUUUCUUGUUUUCCUCGUAUCGUGACCCGGUUUCAAGAUGAACUUUGCCACUUGUCUGUGAAUCCCCUUGUCCCCUACUGCACCACAACUUUAUAAACAUCUGCAAUACGCGUUCCGUCUCAGUUGUCACUAGAAUGGCGAGCAAGAAAUUUGUCCUGUUGGCCUCAGUCCUGCUGGCUGUCCUGUUUCUAUCAGUGGCCGAUGUUUCUGGCGCCUAUGAAUAUGAUUGCUCCAACUACUGGUGCCCGCCAGGCGAGGAAUGCUACAUGCACUACUUGUACUGUUUCCGUGGCGAGUGCAAAUACACGCCGCGGUGUAAGAAGAAGGCCACGUGAGCAUCACCUCACGACGUGACUCGUUGCGACACUUCCUAUGCUACGGACGACAUAUGUCGGAUUGAAACGAGUCAUUUCUUGUUUACAGGCCUGUAUAUUCGCCGUAUUGCGUCACUAAAAAUAAAAAUGUGAUGCCACAGGCUAUAAUUCAUACAAAUUAUUUGUUUCAUGAUAAUAUAAAUAAAUAUAUAUAUA
Molecule: long non-coding RNA, 633 nt
Organism: Cryptotermes secundus
Lineage: Eukaryota; Metazoa; Arthropoda; Insecta; Blattodea; Kalotermitidae
Exons: 2
Source: RefSeq, a predicted model, not a curated record